RNAcentral lists this non-coding RNA (30 nucleotides) under Rattus norvegicus (Norway rat). Lineage: Eukaryota; Metazoa; Chordata; Mammalia; Rodentia; Muridae. The record is from RNAcentral.
UCCACCAAACCUUCUAUGUCCACAGCAUUC